UACGGAGGGAGCUAGCGUUAUUCGGAAUUACUGGGCGUAAAGCGCACGUAGGCGGGUCUUUAAGUCAGGGGUGAAAUCCUGGAGCUCAACUCCAGAACUGCCUUUGAUACUGAGGAUCUUGAGUUCGGGAGAGGUGAGUGGAACUGCGAGUGUAGAGGUGAAAUUCGUAGAUAUUCGCAAGAACACCAGUGGCGAAGGCGGCUCACUGGCCCGAUACUGACGCUGAGGCACGAAAGCGUGGGGAGCAAACAGG
This 253-nucleotide ribosomal RNA is filed under the name uncultured bacterium. RNAcentral's name for it is "partial 16S ribosomal RNA". It matches the Rfam family "Bacterial small subunit ribosomal RNA", at positions 524 to 776 of the family's 1533-position model. The record is from RNAcentral.